Molecule: ribosomal RNA, 468 nt
Filed under: uncultured bacterium
Lineage: Bacteria
Description: partial 16S ribosomal RNA
Rfam family: Bacterial small subunit ribosomal RNA
Source: RNAcentral
GACGAACGCUGGCGGCGUGCUUAACACAUGCAAGUCGAACGGAAAGGCCCUGCUUUUGUGGGGUGCUCGAGUGGCGAACGGAUGAGUAACACGUGAGUAACCUGCCCUUGACUUUGGGAUAACUUCAGGAAACUGGGGCUAAUACCGGAUAGGAGCUCCUGCUGCAUGGUGGGGGCUGGAAAGUUUCGGCGGUUGGGGAUGGACGCGCGGCUUAUCAGCUUGUUGGUGGGGUAGUGGCUUACCAAGGCUUUGACGGGUAGCCGGCCUGAGAGGGUGACCGGCCACAUUGGGACUGAGAUACGGCCCAGACUACUACGGGAGGCAGCAGUGGGGAAUAUUGCACAAUGGGCGGAAGCCUGAUGCAGCAACGCCGCGUGCGGGAUGACGGCCUUCGGGUUGUAAACCGCUUUCGCCUGUGACGAAGCGUGAGUGACGGUAAUGGGUAAAGAAGCACCGGCUAACUACGUG